GUAGGUGGCAAGCGUUGUCCGGAAUUAAUUGGGCGUAAAGCGCGCGCAGGCGGUUCUUUAAGUCUGAUGUGAAAGCCCACGGGCUCAACCGUGGAGGGUCAUUGGAAACUGGAGAACUUGAGUACAGAAGAGGAAAGCGGAAUUCCACGUGUAGCGGUGAAAUGCGUAGAGAUGUGGAGGAACACCAGUGGCGAAGGCGGCUUUCUGGUCUGUAACUGACGCUGAGGCGCGAAAGCGUGGGGAGCAAACAGGAUUAGAUACCCUGGUAGUCCACGCCGUAAACGAUGAGUGCUAAGUGUUAGGGGGUUUCCGCCCCUUAGUGCUGCAGCUAACGCAUUAAGCACUCCGCCUGGGGAGUACGGCCGCAAGGCUG
This 373-nucleotide ribosomal RNA is filed under the name uncultured organism. RNAcentral's name for it is "partial 16S ribosomal RNA". It matches the Rfam family "Bacterial small subunit ribosomal RNA", at positions 527 to 896 of the family's 1533-position model. The record is from RNAcentral.